Molecule: long non-coding RNA, 624 nt
Organism: Pongo pygmaeus (Bornean orangutan)
Lineage: Eukaryota; Metazoa; Chordata; Mammalia; Primates; Hominidae
Exons: 3
Source: RefSeq, a predicted model, not a curated record
GUUACUGGGCCAGGCCCCCGACACGCGUCAGGGUAGAAGCAAGCAGAAGCCUGGCCCUGUUGGAGCUUACAUUGGUAAAUAACCAAGAUCAUUUCAGUGCUCCUGGUUCUCGGGCCAUCAGAACUGGAUCACAUCUACAGCAGCAGAUCUCCUGCUCUCAGGUCUUCACACUACACUGCCGGCUUUCCUGGGUCUCCAGCUUGCAGAGGGUAAAUCAUUCCCAGCCUCCACAAUCAUAGAACCCUAAGACACCACCUUAACCAGGUGAUCAAAAUAAAUGUUACCAAUGCCAUGGCGAACUGACAGCAUGCGCCACCAGAUGUGAUACACUGAAAAGGACACAGAGUCACUUACGUGGUAUUCCUACGAAAAACUCCUAUCCUGAUCCUGAAUCUAAUAAUGAGGAACGAAUACAAAACUAAGGGACAUUUUAUAAAACAACUGACUCAUACUCUUCAAAAAUGUCAGUGUCACGAAAGACCAAAAAAAAAAAGAAAAAAAAGGCUGAAAGGACUGUUCCAGAUAAAAGAGACUGAGUUAUUAUCAACUAAAUACAACAUGUGAUUCUGGGUUGGAUAUGGGAUCAUUUCUUGAAAGCCAUAAUGAGCCAGGCGUGAUGGUUCA